RNAcentral lists this ribosomal RNA (516 nucleotides) under Vestiferum alatum. RNAcentral's name for it is "partial large subunit ribosomal RNA". It matches the Rfam family "Bacterial large subunit ribosomal RNA", at positions 1798 to 2622 of the family's 2925-position model. Lineage: Eukaryota; Metazoa; Arthropoda; Arachnida; Opiliones; Nemastomatidae. The record is from RNAcentral.
CCCUGUUUAUCAAAAACAUUUCUUUUAGAGAGGAAUUAAAAGUAGGGCCUGCCCCCUGCAAUGUAAAGGGCCGCAGUAUUUUGACUGUGCAAAGGUAGCAUAAUCAUUUGUUUUUUAAUUGAAAACUGGAAUGAAAGGUUUAAUAAAAAAAAUAUUUAUUGUAUCUAAAGUUUGAAAUUUAUGGAAGAAUAAAAAAGUUCUUAUAAAUCUAGGGGACGAUAAGACCCUAUUAAGCUUUAAUAUAAAUUUAAGAGGUUUAAAACAAAAAGUUUAAAAAUAUUAUAUUUUACUGGGGUGGUAAAUGAACAAUUUAUAAUAAAAAAAAUUAGGAUCCAUUAUUAAUGCAAAUAGAUUAAGUUACUAUAGGGAUAACAGCAUAAUUCUUUUUAAGAGUUCUUAUCAAUGAAAGAGAUUAUGACCUCGAUGUUGAAUUAAUUUAUCUAUUAGAUGAAGCUGUCUAAAGUGAUAGUCUGUUCCACUAUAAAAUAAUUACAUGAUCUGAGUUCAAACCGGAGA